GGACGGGUGAGUAACACGUGGGAACGUGCCUUUUGGUUCGGAAUAGCUCCUGGAAACGGGUGGUAAUGCCGAAUGUGCCCUUCGGGGGAAAGAUUUAUCGCCAUUAGAGCGGCCCGCGUCUGAUUAGCUAGUUGGUGAGGUAAAGGCUCACCAAGGCGACGAUCCGUAGCGGGUCUGAGAGGAUGAUCCGCCACACUGGGACUGAGACACGGCCCAGACUCCUACGGGAGGCAGCAGUGGGGAAUUUUGGACAAUGGGCGCAAGCCUGAUCCAGCCAUGCCGCGUGAGUGAAGGAGGCCUUCGGGUUGUAAAGCUCUUUCGCGAGGGAAGAAAUGGCGUCGGCUAAUACCUGGCGUCGAUGACGGUACCUUGAUAAGAAGCACCGGCUAACUACGUGCCAGCAGCCGCGGUAAUACGUAGGGUGCGAGCGUUAAUCGGAAUUACUGGGCGUAAAGCGUGCGCAGGCGGUUUUGUAAGACAGGCGUGAAAUCCCCGGGCUCAACCUGGGAAUUGCGCUAGUGACUGCAAGGCUAGAGUAUGGCAGAGGGGGGUAGAAUUCCACGUGUAGCAGUGAAAUGCGUAGAUAUGCGGAGGAACACCGAUGGCGAAGGCAAUCCCCUGGACCUGUACUGACGCUCAUGCACGAAAGCGUGGGGAGCAAACAGAAUUAGAUACCCUGGUAGUCCACGCCCUAAACGAUGUCAACUGGUUGUUGGGAGGGUUUCUUCUCAGUAACGUAGCUAACGCGUGAAGUUGACCGCCUGGGGAGUACGGCCGCAA
This 780-nucleotide ribosomal RNA is filed under the name uncultured bacterium. RNAcentral's name for it is "bacterial SSU rRNA". It matches the Rfam family "Bacterial small subunit ribosomal RNA", at positions 100 to 891 of the family's 1533-position model. The record is from RNAcentral.